This 207-nucleotide ribosomal RNA is filed under the name uncultured bacterium. RNAcentral describes it as "partial 16S ribosomal RNA". It matches the Rfam family "Bacterial small subunit ribosomal RNA", at positions 568 to 774 of the family's 1533-position model. The record is from RNAcentral.
UGCGUAGGCGGUUUGAUAAGUCUGAUGUGAAAUCCCGCAGCUUAACUGCGGAACUGCAUUGGAAACUAUUUGACUAGAGGAAUGGAGGGGAGACUGGAAUACUUGGUGUAGCAGUGAAAUGCGUAGAUAUCAAGUGGAACACCAGUGGCGAAGGCGAGUCUCUGGACAUUUCCUGACGCUGAGGCACGAAAGCCAGGGAAGCAAACG